Molecule: ribosomal RNA, 506 nt
Filed under: Staphylococcus sp. HMSC073C02
Lineage: Bacteria; Bacillati; Bacillota; Bacilli; Caryophanales; Staphylococcaceae
Description: bacterial SSU rRNA
Rfam family: Bacterial small subunit ribosomal RNA
Source: RNAcentral
GACAGGUGGUGCAUGGUUGUCGUCAGCUCGUGUCGUGAGAUGUUGGGUUAAGUCCCGCAACGAGCGCAACCCUUAAGCUUAGUUGCCAUCAUUAAGUUGGGCACUCUAAGUUGACUGCCGGUGACAAACCGGAGGAAGGUGGGGAUGACGUCAAAUCAUCAUGCCCCUUAUGAUUUGGGCUACACACGUGCUACAAUGGACAAUACAAAGGGCAGCGAAACCGCGAGGUCAAGCAAAUCCCAUAAAGUUGUUCUCAGUUCGGAUUGUAGUCUGCAACUCGACUAUAUGAAGCUGGAAUCGCUAGUAAUCGUAGAUCAGCAUGCUACGGUGAAUACGUUCCCGGGUCUUGUACACACCGCCCGUCACACCACGAGAGUUUGUAACACCCGAAGCCGGUGGAGUAACCAUUUGGAGCUAGCCGUCGAAGGUGGGACAAAUGAUUGGGGUGAAGUCGUAACAAGGUAGCCGUAUCGGAAGGUGCGGCUGGAUCACCUCCUUUCUAAGGA